CCUACGGGUGGCAGCAGUGGGGAAUAUUGGACAAUGGGGGAAACCCUGAUCCAGCGACGCCGCGUGAGUGAAGAAGUAUUUCGGUACGUAAAGCUCUAUCAGCAGGAAAGAAAAUGACGGUACCUGACUAAGAAGCCCCGGCUAACUACGUGCCAGCAGCCGCGGUAAUACGUAGGGGGCAAGCGUUAUCCGGAUUUACUGGGUGUAAAGGGAGCGUAGGCGGGACGGCAAGUCAGAUGUGAAAACUGAGGGCUCAACUUUCAGACUGCAUUUGAAACUGCUGUUCUUGAGUGAAGUAGAGGUAAGCGGAAUUCCUAGUGUAGCGGUGAAAUGCGUAGAUAUUAGGAGGAACAUCGGUGGCGAAGGCGGCUUACUGGGCUUUUACUGACGCUGAGGCUCGAAAGCGUGGGGAGCAAACAGGAUUAGAUACCCUUGUAGUC
RNAcentral lists this ribosomal RNA (440 nucleotides) under uncultured bacterium. Its description in RNAcentral is "partial 16S ribosomal RNA". It matches the Rfam family "Bacterial small subunit ribosomal RNA", at positions 338 to 795 of the family's 1533-position model. The record is from RNAcentral.